Choloepus didactylus (southern two-toed sloth) is the source of this 2195-nucleotide long non-coding RNA. RefSeq lists it as uncharacterized. NCBI's taxonomy places the organism in Eukaryota, Metazoa, Chordata, Mammalia, Pilosa, Megalonychidae. The record is from RefSeq and is a predicted model, not a curated record. The transcript is spliced from 3 exons.
GGCUCAAAAGAGGCUCAAAAGGACAGAAUUGGGACAUAAGAGGAAAAAAUGAAAUAAAAUUAGGCUGGAAUCACAUUCAAUACCAACAACUAUUACCACAAAUGGAAGAAGAGACAACCAGAAAAGACCCAGGCACACUUCUGGAGACCCACUGUUGUGUAAAAUACAAUGACUGUAAAACAAUUAUGGGAAAAAUGGUACCAUACACAUCACAGCUGACUGUCUGGAAAGAGCCAAGGCUGUGGGACCGAGAUGUCCAGUUUUGCCAGGCAACAGUUGGAUCAUAACUGUGGCACUUCUUACUGUGUUCCUGGAGGAAGUUCUUCCCUAACUCUCCCAGUUUGCAGCAGUCUCCUGGGGAAGAACUGGUAUGGAAAGAACCAACUGUACUUGAGGGUGGGAGUGGGUGCCAGGAGGAAAAGCUGAGCAAGUCACUCACUUUAGUUUCUCAGCCAGAGCUACACUAUUACAGUUUCUCUGUCUCCUUAUCUAGCAUAAUACUCUGCUGGUCUCCUGAGACCCAGAAGAGAUGUUCUGGGCCAUUUCUGCCUGUCCCCUGGGGGUUUUUGGUGAAGAAUUGAGCUCUGCCACUCCUUAUUCCACCAUCUCCUGCUCUGGAGAUUUUAAAUGCAAGUUUAGGGAUCACCAUCAGUUGAUGUACUUUCACUCUCAUGAUUCUGUAGGUUUUUCUCUGCCUGGAAACUGCCUGAUUUUGCCUGCAUCCUUAUGGGCUUCCCCUUGUCAGUGAGGUCUAACCCUGUGCUCCCUGGGACAAGACUCAAUAUUAGACAUGACUACUGGACACAUGACUAAGUACUGAUUUUCCUCAAGAAGCUCUUGAUGUUGAAUAUUACUGACUGACAAAGUGGAGUCCAGGACAAAGCACAAUGCAGAUCUAGGUGAAUUACCCCUUGCCAAGUAUCUGAUUCUCAGCACUCCAUUCUGAGCUCUGUGUCUACCAAUAUCUUUAUUGUUCUGUUUGCAGCUGUAUCUUUUUCUUUGACUUAAGUUUUCCUUCUUCUUUAAGCAAUAGGAUACAUAUAAUGGGUUUUCAUAUGAUGUAAAUUGAAUAAAGGAAUUUCUUAUGAUUUUUAUAGGAGGAAAAUGCAGCAAAUGGAAAAGCAACCUCUAGAAUAUGCAUCCAAGAUAAUUUGAAAGAUAUUUGGCAUGAUUUCAGUGUCCUUAAAAUAAAAAACAAAAUAUUUUAUGUUAAUUAGAAUAAUUGCAUAAACUAAGCUGCCAAUACAAACUAUGCAAUACAAUUUUCAGUAUAUAUGAUCAAUUUCUUCCACUAAAAUUUUUGCUUCCUCAGUGGUCAGGGAGAGAUUUAUAAAUGAUUAAGGAGACAGAUUAUAAAAUUGGAAAAUGAGAAAUAUUUGAUAACUAAUUGGACAGAAUAUUCAUUUCCUAUACCUUAUAAUAGAAAUUUAUGAAUCUUUAUGUUUCCCAAAGACACGGUGGGUGUUUUGAAAGAAAGUAAUGAAAUAAUAUUAUCAGGAUUUUUUUAGCAUUCUAUAAAUUUGAACAUGGACAAUGAUAUAGAUAUUCUUAAAAUAUAUCCUUAUACAUUUUCAUUUCAUUACAAUGGGAAAACAGUUUUUGCAUGUGUGUUGAGAAACCUGGAGAAAGUUCACAGUUAGCAAGUUGACAUCCCCAAAGUUGGGGUAGGUGGAUUUUGGGCCCCUCCUGAUGGGAUGAAUUGAGAUGAGGACAGCAUCAGGCUGGGGUUUUCUGUUGGAAUGCAGGCCUGCAUCUGUUCAGAAGGCAGUGGGAAUAUUUGAGUUGCUGUCAUCUUUGCUUGCCAAAUACAUCAAAGACAUGAAGGAAUAUAUCAGUGACAGUUCCAAUUUAAAGGACCGUAGACUAAAAUGAACAAUGAGACAUUUCCCCAUUGUAGAGACAAUUGGUGAAACUUGAAAAUGAUCUGUGGGUUGAAUCAUAAUAUGGAAAGUAUGUUGUUUCCUGAUUUUGGUUUGUAUGGUUACCUAGGUGAGUAUUCCUGUUUUCAGGAAACAUAUACUGGAGUAUUUUGUGUUAAGGGCUAGAUGUGGUGAAAGUAUACACAUUGUGGUAUCUGAGGGGAUCACAAGUUCUUUAUAUUGUUAUUGAAAUUUUUAUAUAAGAUCUGUAAGUUCUAUAAUUAUUACAAAAUUAUACAUAUAUUACAAUUACUAUGUGGAUACCAUGCUAUUAAA